Molecule: long non-coding RNA, 1099 nt
Organism: Brassica napus (rape)
Lineage: Eukaryota; Viridiplantae; Streptophyta; Magnoliopsida; Brassicales; Brassicaceae
Exons: 2
Source: RefSeq, a predicted model, not a curated record
GAUAAAUUAAUAUGACAUUACUAUUGGCUCUAACCUGAUUUCUUGCGUGUCUCCACGACAGUACCAUGACUACGCGGCAAGAACACUCCAGUUCCACCCGACCCGGUUUUCGAACCUGACCCGUCAACGAACACCGCCUUCACGCCCGACCUUGGUCUCUGUUGUUGGUGGUAGCUCCUUGCUUUGUGUCCUAACACGUCAUCUGAAUCAUAACGGGUUGCGUCUCCAUCGCCGUCACCGGAGUUAGCGGUGGCGAUGGUUCUCUGGAAGGACCGAUAGGGCUGCUGUAACCGGAGGCGAAAGGUGACCAAAGAGUAGAUUGCGGCGAGCCAGAGCCACCACCACCACUACAAGACUGAUCAAAAAGUAUAAAAUGAAUUAAAUAAAAAAAAAGAGAGAAAAGAAUCGAAUCUGUUGGGUUUCAAGAAAAAAGUUUUGUACCUUCUGAUGCUUUUCGUCAUCUUGAAGCAUAUAGUUAGCCAUCUGACGAGUCAACUCUUCCACGUACUCGUCUUCUUCUUCGUUCUGUGGCUUUGGUGAAUCCGGGUCUUCGGAUACGGAGUCAGAUCUAAGGGAGCUUGUGGUUGGAGUGAAGAAAGUUGGGCUUGUGUGGUCGGAAAAGGAACUAAAGUAAUCUAUGUCUUGCAGUUCAGUAGAUUCCAUGUUGAUGAAUUUUUGUCUAGAAGAACAGAGAAAAUAUCUUUGGAUUGAUACAGACAGAACAAACGAACUUUAACCAGAGAUAUUUUUUCAAAAAAAAACUUCAACCAGGGAGAGAGAUAGAGAGAGCAAGAGAAACAGAGGAGAGCAAGUAGACAGAAAGAGUUUGAGCUAAGAGAUAUAUAAAGAAGGAAGAAAGAAGGAGACCGUACAGAUGGACAGCUUUAAGCGGAAGGCGCUACGAUCACCUGCCAAUUGUUGCGAGUCACGAGAGAUUAAGGAUUAAGGAAAGCUAAAAAAUAAUACUUACAUAUGUAGUUUUCUCUUUUUCUUUUUUCUUUCGUGAAAUAUGAAUGCAUUUAUUUAUGACGAACUCUUUCUUAGUUUGGGUGAAUGUUUAUUAAAAUUUCGCUUAUAACAUUUUUCUUUCUUUCUCGCU